This 1060-nucleotide long non-coding RNA is filed under the name Helianthus annuus (common sunflower). Its description in RNAcentral is "hypothetical non coding rna". Lineage: Eukaryota; Viridiplantae; Streptophyta; Magnoliopsida; Asterales; Asteraceae. The record is from RNAcentral.
UUGCUUCACUUGAUUUUGUUCAAGGGGUUCAUUUAUGUCACAGAUGCGAGUGACCUAUUCUGAACCAACAUCAAAGUGCGAAACACUGGUGAACCCACAAGAAGAUCUGUGGAAUGAUUAAUAGAUAGUUGCACUACUUUGAUUGUUUCAAGUGGUUUCAAAAGGUGAACACCACGAGAUAUAAAGAAAAGAUUCCAAGUCAGAUUUCAUGUUUUUUUACUGAAAUUGUUAAGGGUUUUAUUAACUGUAUGAAUUUUUUUAAGGGUCCUAAGAUUGAGAAGAGUGGCGAUGGUGGUGGGAUGAGGGUAAAGUUUCAAUGGAUCUGAAUAUAAAGUUAUUUUGUGACGCAGUUACCGAACUGAAACAUUGGAUCUGCAAACCAAAAACUUGAUAGAGAUUUUUUGUUUUUUGUUUUUUUGGAUAAAAUCUUGAUUUUGCAUUUAGAAAUUAGUUUGACUAUACAAGAUCAAAAUUGCAUUUCUUAUGCUUUUGCAAAUACACCCUUGGUGCAACAUGUAGAACUAUGAAUAACAGUAGCCUAAUAGUUGUGGUUUUGAAACCUAAGAUUUUUUUAUAUAUAAGCUACCGUUCUAGGUAUAAAUUUCAGUUAGGGUGAAGAUUGUUCAUUCAGUUAGUUUAUGGUUUGGUUAGUUAACCAUGCUUGGUGAAGUUUAUUAGUGCAUUUGAAAGUAAAACUUUUGUUGUCUGUUAUGUUAAUGUUGUUUGAGUUUGUACAUAUAUAUUUUUUUAAAUUAAUCUCAAGACCAUUGCUGAGUUCUUAGCCGAUGAGCUUAUCAACGCUGCCAAAGGGCUCUUCAAACAGGUUAUAAGUGUUCAAAAUAGUGAAAUGUGGGGCGUCUUUAUUGUAUGCGGCUCAAUUUAUUAAAUAGUCGUUUUCCACUUGAGGCUGAAGGAGAAGAACCUAGAACUGUUUCUUCAGUGGAGUGACGAUGACAAAAGACUUAGCAAUAAUUUUUAAUGCUUUCUUUUUCUAUACAAGUAUACAACGGCGUUGGUUUUUUCAUAUGAAUACAAAGAAUAAAUUAAAGAUUACUGAUUU